Molecule: ribosomal RNA, 253 nt
Filed under: uncultured bacterium
Lineage: Bacteria
Description: partial 16S ribosomal RNA
Rfam family: Bacterial small subunit ribosomal RNA
Source: RNAcentral
UACGUAGGGGGCAAGCGUUGUCCGGAAUCAUUGGGCGUAAAGAGCGUGUAGGCGGCCCGGUAAGUCCGCUGUGAAAGUCAAAGGCUCAACCUUUGAAAGCCGAUGGAUACUGCGGAGCUAGAGUACGGAAGAGGCGAGUGGAAUUCCUGGUGUAGCGGUGGAAUGCGCAGAUAUCAGGAGGAACACCAAUAGCGAAGGCAGCUCGCUGGGACGUUACUGACACUAAGGCGCGAAAGCGUGGGGAGCGAACAGG